CAGGUAGUUGGCGGGGUAACGGCCCACCAAGCCUACGAUCAGUAACUGGUGUGAGAGCACGACCAGUCACACGGGCACUGAGACACGGGCCCGACUCCUACGGGAGGCAGCAGUAAGGAAUAUUGGUCAAUGGACGCAAGUCUGAACCAGCCAUGCCGCGUGGAGGAUGAAGGUCCUCUGGAUUGUAAACUUCUUUUAUCUGGGAAGAAAUCCAUAAAUUCUUUUAUGGUUGACGGUACCAGGUGAAUAAGCACCGGCUAACUCCGUGCCAGCAGCCUAAUACGGAGGGUGCAAGCGUUAUCCGGAUUCACUGGGUUUAAAGGGUGCGUAGGCGGAUUGGUAAGUCCGUGGUGAAAUCUCCGAGCUUAACUCGGAAACUGCCAUGGAUACUAUCAGUCCUGAAUAUCUUGGAGGUAAGCGGAAUAUGUCAUGUAGCGGUGAAAUGCUUAGAUAUGACAUAGAACACCCAUUGCCAAGGCAGCUUACUACG
This 490-nucleotide ribosomal RNA is filed under the name uncultured Bacteroidota bacterium. Its description in RNAcentral is "SSU rRNA". It matches the Rfam family "Bacterial small subunit ribosomal RNA", at positions 242 to 733 of the family's 1533-position model. The record is from RNAcentral. Lineage: Bacteria; Pseudomonadati; Bacteroidota.